GUUUUUUAGCCGAAAAUGCAAUCAAUGAGGAACGAUCAUGGCCGGGAGGUGAAUAUGGUUCCUUAGGUCUUAUUUGAUGGCCCGAAUAAAAUUUAGAUGAUCCGAGUCCGGGGGGCCCGGGACCACUUGGAAGGCGUGGGCUAUAGCACAAGAAAAUAUGGGAAUCAAGCGGAAUUCUAGUUUUUUUGGCCAUAAAAUGCAAAAAAUGAGGAAAGGUCAAGGCGGGGCAGUGACUAUGGUUCCUUAGGUCGUAUUUGAUGGCCAGGUAAAAUUUUAGGCUAUCGGGGGCCGGGGUCUAGGGACCACUUUGAAGGCAUGGUAUAGCACACGAAAAUAUGGGAAUCGGGCGGAAUUCUAGUUUUUUGGCCAAAAAAAGCAAAAAAUGAGGAACGAUCAUGGCGGGGCGGUGACUAUGGUUCCCUAGGUCGUAUUUGAUGGCCCGAAAAAAUUUUAGGCGAUCCGAGUCAGGGGGCCCGGCCCACUCGGAAGGCGUGGGCUAUAGCACACGGAAAAUAUGGGAAUCGGGCGGAAUUCUAGUUUUUUGGCCGAAAAAUGUAAAAAAUGAGGAACGAUCAUGGCGGGGCGGUGACUAUGGUUCCUUAGG
This 604-nucleotide long non-coding RNA is filed under the name Nicotiana tabacum (common tobacco). RNAcentral's name for it is "long non-coding RNA (NTAB_LNC013589)". The record is from RNAcentral. Lineage: Eukaryota; Viridiplantae; Streptophyta; Magnoliopsida; Solanales; Solanaceae.